Molecule: non-coding RNA, 73 nt
Organism: Stegodyphus dumicola
Lineage: Eukaryota; Metazoa; Arthropoda; Arachnida; Araneae; Eresidae
Source: the annotation of a RefSeq genome assembly
GCCUUUGUGGUGUAACGGUUAGCACACUCGCCGCGCAUUCGAGAGGUCCCAGGUUAGAGUCCUGGCGAGGGCA